UAUGCAGACCGCCUUAUCGCUCCAUGCUUAAGGCAUGGGGAGGAAAGUCCGGGCAACAUAGAGCAGCGCACUUCCUAACAGGAAGGUGCCGGGGCAACCCGGUAACAGCCAGUGCCACAGAAAACAGACUUCCUUGCGGUGCUAAGCCCCGUAAGGUAAAGGUGAAAAGGUGGGGUAAGAGCCCACCGCUUCGCUGGUGACAGCGAAGGCAUGGUAAACCUUGCGCGUUGAAAGACCAAAUAGGUUCUGCCGGCCCCCGGGCCGUGGGUUGCUCGUCCAUACCGCUAUGGUGGCAGAAUGGGUAGGUCGAUAGAGCCUGGCAGUGAUGUCAGGCCCAGAUAAAUGAUAAGGGUCUUGCCGACAGGCAAGAUACAGAACCCGGCUUACAGGUCUGCAUUUUUU
This 402-nucleotide RNase P RNA is filed under the name Flammeovirgaceae bacterium. Its description in RNAcentral is "RNase P RNA component class A". It matches the Rfam family "Bacterial RNase P class A". Rfam says of the family: Ribonuclease P (RNase P) is a ubiquitous endoribonuclease, found in archaea, bacteria and eukarya as well as chloroplasts and mitochondria. Its best characterised activity is the generation of mature 5'-ends of tRNAs by cleaving the 5'-leader elements of precursor-tRNAs. The record is from RNAcentral. Lineage: Bacteria; Pseudomonadati; Bacteroidota; Cytophagia; Cytophagales; Flammeovirgaceae.